Molecule: ribosomal RNA, 429 nt
Filed under: Actinomycetes bacterium
Lineage: Bacteria; Bacillati; Actinomycetota; Actinomycetes
Description: Actinobacteria bacterium partial 16S ribosomal RNA
Rfam family: Bacterial small subunit ribosomal RNA
Source: RNAcentral
UAGGGAAUCUUCCGCAAUGGGCGAAAGCCUGACGGAGCAACGCCGCGUGAGUGAUGAAGGUCUUCGGAUCGUAAAACUCUGUUAUUAGGGAAGAACAAAUGUGUAAGUAACUAUGCACGUCUUGACGGUACCUAAUCAGAAAGCCACGGCUAACUACGUGCCAGCAGCCGCGGUAAUACGUAGGUGGCAAGCGUUAUCCGGAAUUAUUGGGCGUAAAGCGCGCGUAGGCGGUUUUUUAAGUCUGAUGUGAAAGCCCACGGCUCAACCGUGGAGGGUCAUUGGAAACUGGAAAACUUGAGUAGAGAAGAGGAAAGUGGAAUUCCAUGUGUAGCGGUGAAAUGCGCAGAGAUAUGGAGGAACACCAGUGGCGUAGGCGACUUUCUGGUCUGUAACUGACGCAGAUGUGCGAAAGCGUGGGGAUCAAACAGG